GGCAACAACAGUCUGCUGCGUUCAGCUUAUUCCCAGAAUUGUUACCAUCUUCCUUUAUUGGAGGAAGGAAACACUCGUCUGCAUGAAGCCACUAAUGUAAUUUAGCAUGGCAUGGCUGCAAGUAGCUGUCUACCCUAAUUGAGCAAUUGAAGAUGUGACAUGGUCAGCCAUCAAUUAUAGCGACAUAUCAAGAACACCAAUCUCCGGUUAAGUUCACGGAAUGAUUGUAAUAAAUGAUUGUUCUUAUGCAGAUUUCAGUACCCGAAUUUGUUCUCCUUUUUCCCUCCUCCUCAGAUGUCUGGACUCCGCAGCGGACUUAAUGUGAAGUAGUUGGACUUUAUUGUUGCUGAGGAAAACAAAACAACGCGUGCGUAUUCUAAAGUCAGCUGGAGAUGUCAGAAAGACAGCGAUAAAAAAAAAGAAGACAAGAAUCCUAAAAGUAAAAAAUCUGUUUGACAAAAAGGGUUUGACAGGUGUAAACCGAAUGCUCUCAGUAAAAAAAAAAAAAAAAAAGUCAGACUAUUAAUGCAUCAAUAUUAAUAAAACCACCUCCUUUCUUAAAGAAAAAUAUUAUUACCUACCUGCAAAUAUUCCUCUUCCACCCCAGACUUCUGUGCGCCUUUUCCAUUCUUUUGGCAGCGGCAGAAUGGUGUCUUUUCAGGGCGAAAAGAAAGGUAGGCCUCGGCCCAGACCUCUAACAUUAUGUAAAUGAGAUAAACCUCUCAACCUUGUGGAUUACUGAGUCAGAGAGCAGGACCCUGGUCCACAGACCCUCCACAUUAGGAUCCCAUAAAAAUCUGGAGCUAGUUAGCUGCAUGCAACGCUUAUGAGAGCUUAUAGUCCACAUUAAUAUAGUUGUAAGUCUAAGUUAAGUUUUACAUCCAGUGAAUAUGAUGUGGCCAAGGCAUGCAGGAGCGGGAUUCACGGAAGAAAGAAGCUCAUUCACGGAAGAAGGAAGAAGAAGGCCUAGCAAAGUGGCUCUUUCUCCCUGGAAGGAUGUCAGCUCUCUGUGCCUGGCCAUCCCUGAGGACGCUUGAUGUCAUCUUGUCUACCUGAUCAUUACACUACCUGCUCUACUCUGCAAUGCUGCCCUCUCGCUGCUCCGCCACUUGAAAUGCUUGGCUGGCCUCUUCUCUGAAACCAUCAUGAAAUUGUGUGCUAAAACUGCAGACUGUUCCUCCUCUCUCCUCCCUUCAGCCAUGUGUGCAGGAGCCAGAAAAAGAUUCCUCCACUCGGGCGCUUGCUGCUCAGUCAAAGGGAAAACACACAAAACAUCCUUCAGCUGUCUGCCACCUCUCACAGCUUUUAUUUGAUUUAUUGAUAUCUGUUGUGUAUGAUAUCUAAUACACAACAGCAAUAUCUAAUCCAGUUUAAGUUGAAACGGGAGUUAAUAAUUCAUAUGGAGAUUAUUGUCUGUUGUGCACUGAAAUCAGAGAUAAUUAUUUUUCAAAAUGCAAUUAUCAUUUCUUUCUGCAUCUUUAAAUGUAAUGUUUUCAUGCAUCGCAGCAAAGAUGAUGAUGUGGAUAACCAUGUCCAACAUUUCAUAAUUUGUAAAAAAAAA
Molecule: long non-coding RNA, 1561 nt
Organism: Larimichthys crocea (large yellow croaker)
Lineage: Eukaryota; Metazoa; Chordata; Actinopteri; Sciaenidae
Exons: 2
Source: RefSeq, a predicted model, not a curated record